CGGACGGGUGAGUAACACGUGGAUAACCUACCUAUAAGACUGGGAUAACUUCGGGAGACCGGAGCUAAUACCGGAUAAUAUAUUGAACCGCAUGGUUCAAUAGUGAAAGACGGUUUUGCUGUCACUUAUAGAUGGAUCCGCGCCGCAUUAGCUAGUUGGUAAGGUAACGGCUUACCAAGGCAACGAUGCGUAGCCGACCUGAGAGGGUGAUCGGCCACACUGGAACUGAGACACGGUCCAG
Molecule: ribosomal RNA, 241 nt
Filed under: uncultured Staphylococcus sp.
Lineage: Bacteria; Bacillati; Bacillota; Bacilli; Caryophanales; Staphylococcaceae
Description: partial 16S ribosomal RNA
Rfam family: Bacterial small subunit ribosomal RNA
Source: RNAcentral